RNAcentral lists this non-coding RNA (45 nucleotides) under Trichobilharzia regenti. The record is from RNAcentral. Lineage: Eukaryota; Metazoa; Platyhelminthes; Trematoda; Strigeidida; Schistosomatidae.
AAUUGGCUGACGAAUCCCAAAUAGGACGAAAUGCGCAUGAUUGGU